UUUGCCCCCCCCCCCCCCCCCUCCCGUUUCCUUGGAAUCCCGUCGCUGCCUCCACACGCUCGCAGCAGCUGCCAAGGCCGGCAGGUCCCGGCGGGGCGGCCCUCAGGUGCCCGCCUGAGCGGGGAGAGCUCGGAGCAGCCCGAGCAGAGCAGGUCGGGCCUUCCCUUCUCUGUCCUUUGUUUGUUUACAGCUGCCGCUCCGAAACGCGUGAAAAACUGGAUCCUUGCUGAAGGGUUGCGGUUAGAUGACGGAACGAACUCCAUCAUCUCGUUUUGCUGAAGGACCGCCGGUAACGCGUUGCUGGCUGGGCACGAAUUCCUCCCCCCACCCCCCCAAAACUGCUUUGCAAAUAUGUUUGGCCAUCGGUGCUCGAUGCCAAGGUUGUUUUGCAACGGUUUUUUUUCUGUCCCCUCACAUCGCCGUGCUCCUCCUGAGCUGCGGAUGGGAGAGCAGCUGCUUCAGCACCUUCCUUGUGUUUUAUCAACAAGAUUCCAGUUGUUUAGUCGUGUUUUUUUUGUUGUUGUUUUUUAACUUUUCUACUUUAAUUAAAAUAACUGUAAGAUUUAGAUCAUGUGAGUAUUGGAUUUUCCUAAAUACAUUUGUAUUUAAAUCUAUGCUUAACGCCUUCUAACUCUUUGAAGAGUAACCACCAGCCGAGCCUCUGAUGCACUGCCGCUGCAAGAAGGUACUUGUGCCCAGCAACACUUUCAAUAUUCAUCAGUAAUAUGUUUAUAAGGAGAGCUCCUUGCAAAAAUGAAAAUACAGAAGGAAAUACAUUUUCAGAACAAAUCCUUUGCAUUUGCAGCCCCAGACUUAGAUCAAUCCGUUCUUAAGUUGACUUUACAGGUCUGGUGGGGUCUGUUCCAGUGCCCCACAGAAGGCCGUGCCAGAGGGGAGUGCAGUUGCUGGGGCCGCCAUUUCAGGAGGACAGAAGCAGUCCUGCAAAACCUGCCCUAGGCCGUGCUGCUGCUGCUCUGGGGCUGCAUACCUCACACACGGUCCCCAGUGAGCCUCCAUGGCGUGCUGGGAGAUUUGAAAACCGCAGCUUCUUGCUGGAAAUUCAGAUGGCUCAACCUCCUGGGGACUGUAACUGCAAGGAAGCCCCGAACAUAAGACUUCUACACUUCAGAGUACCUGGCUACACAGAUAUCAGACUGCAAUUUCUGACAAGCAAGACAUAGGAAAAUCCCUGUGAAUUAAGGAUGAGAAACCCUGUAUCUUCAGUCAGAUUUCCUCAUUCAUUGACAAGAGCUGUUUCACAGUGAAAUACAGGGCUUUUCCACUGCUUCCCAUUGAAGAGCCCAUUGAACAGAAGUUCAGUUAAUGCUUCCUAUUACUACAGCACACUUUAUUCUUCCUGGUAAAAGCUGAAAAGCACUGGUAGUACAGUGGAAUGAGAUGUGAAGAAUGCUACAGUGACAUACAAUAUCUAUUGCUGCUUGUAUACGUACAUCCAUGAACCCUAAUAAACACAUGCACAUAAAUCCUGAGAAUUUUUUUUUUUUUAAACCAAGCAGUGCAUUUCUACAAUGCUGUGUCUUUCUGCAUAGCCUGUAAAAUAAAGCAAUGCUGGCGUACAGCACUGUUUUCAGAACUUUUUAAGAAAAAAAGAUUAAAAAAAAAUCAAAUUAAAAGAAUGUUACUCUGCUGGCUACUUACAUUCUUGCCACAAGCAAAUACACACAUAUACACAAACAUUUCUAUUCUCCUUUCAUAAAGGGAAUAAGCAAGG
Phasianus colchicus (ring-necked pheasant) is the source of this 1732-nucleotide non-coding RNA. Lineage: Eukaryota; Metazoa; Chordata; Aves; Galliformes; Phasianidae. The record is from RefSeq and is a predicted model, not a curated record.